CGGGGCGUAGCGCAGUCUGGUAGCGCGACGGUUUUGGGUACCGUAGGCCAGAAGUUCGAAUCUUCUCGCCCCGACCA
Molecule: transfer RNA, 77 nt
Filed under: Exiguobacterium profundum
Lineage: Bacteria; Bacillati; Bacillota; Bacilli; Caryophanales
Description: tRNA-Pro
Rfam family: tRNA
About the family: Transfer RNA (tRNA) molecules are approximately 80 nucleotides in length. Their secondary structure includes four short double-helical elements and three loops (D, anti-codon, and T loops).
Source: RNAcentral